AUGAUUAACUUGGCAUUUGCAAGUGUUGGUUAUAAAUAUAUAUUGCAAGAUUGAUGAUUUCAUUAAGAGGUAGAAGAAACAACGUAUUAAUAUUUAUUAAGGAGUAAAAAGAAAACUUAGUUGAGCCGUGGGCCGUAGGGCAAGUUUCGUCGUUUCUCGUACAAAAAAGAAAAAGAAAAAGGAGAGUGUGGGGACGACAAGAGUUGUUGUGAAAUGGACGAGUGUGAUCGGUAAUGUGACCCUCUUUGUCCCAAUCAUGUGUGCUAAUUCGACACGAAACGUAGACCUUAUCACACCGGAAGUUUUCUCGACACACGUCUUUUUUUUUUUUUUUAACUCCUUUAUUC
Molecule: long non-coding RNA, 347 nt
Filed under: Capsella rubella
Lineage: Eukaryota; Viridiplantae; Streptophyta; Magnoliopsida; Brassicales; Brassicaceae
Description: long non-coding RNA (CRUB_LNC001913)
Source: RNAcentral